GUGCGCCCUUCUGCAGCACAUAUAUUAAAAUUGGGACGAUACAGAGAAGAUUAGCAUGGCCCCCGCAGCAAGGAUGACAUGCAAAUUCACGAAGCAGUCCAUAUUUUU
Molecule: small nuclear RNA, 108 nt
Filed under: Catagonus wagneri (Chacoan peccary)
Lineage: Eukaryota; Metazoa; Chordata; Mammalia; Artiodactyla; Tayassuidae
Source: RNAcentral